Molecule: ribosomal RNA, 505 nt
Filed under: uncultured bacterium
Lineage: Bacteria
Description: partial 16S ribosomal RNA
Rfam family: Bacterial small subunit ribosomal RNA
Source: RNAcentral
GACGAACGCUGGCGGCGUGCCUAAUACAUGCAAGUAGAACGCACAGUUUAUACCGUAGCUUGCUACACCAUAAACUGUGAGUUGCGAACGGGUGAGUAACGCGUAGGUAACCUGCCUGGUAGCGGGGGAUAACUAUUGGCAACGAUAGCUAAUACCGCAUAAUAUUAAUUAUUGCAUGAUAAUUGAUUGAAAGCUGCAAUUGCAUCACUACCAGAUGGACCUGCGUUGUAUUAGCUAGUAGGUGAGGUAACGGCUCACCUAGGCGACGAUACAUAGCCGAGCUGAGAGGGUGAUCGGCCACAAUGGGACUGGGACACGGCGCAGACUCCUACGGGAGGCAGCAGGAGGGAAUCUUCGGCAAUGGACGAAAGUCUGACCGAGCAACGCCGCGUGAGUGAAGAAGGGUUUCGGAUCGUAAAGCUCUGUUGUAAGAGAAGAACGGGUGUGAGAGUGGAAAGUUCACACUGUGACGGUAGCUUACCAGAAAGGGACGGCUAACUACGUG